Molecule: long non-coding RNA, 5347 nt
Organism: Neopelma chrysocephalum (saffron-crested tyrant-manakin)
Lineage: Eukaryota; Metazoa; Chordata; Aves; Passeriformes; Pipridae
Exons: 3
Source: RefSeq, a predicted model, not a curated record
CGUGCGUGGUGGGAUGGGAUUAAAGGGAUUUGGAGCCCGCACCGGCGCUCAAUGCAAACGCGCGUCUGAGUCGCGGCACAGAAAUGAGUCGUGCAGCGAACACAGCCCCGCAGCCGCCGUCCGGAGACGCUACUUCGUGAAAAACAGCAAAAGUACCUUUUGAAUUCUUCCAUCAAUAUCCAAAUAAAUACACUUGGGCCGCUGCAGAAGCAUGAAGAAAGUGUAAAGCCCAUGCUCUCGCCCACCGCCAUCCGAACCACCCCCGGAGAGAAGGAAUCUGUUAUUUUAAGGGAAUGUGAAAUAUCCUGGCAAAGGCAUCUCCUGGGAGAAAGCGCAGCCGAGAAGCAGGAGGGAGCAGAGCAUCCGACGGUGUGUUCUCGGAGCGGAUGCCGAAUGCCAUCUGCUGUGCUGUGCUGCAGAGCCCGGGGGAGCCUGAGCGGCGGGUGAUGCUCGGUCACGGACGGGAGAGAGGUUUGGAGGCAGCGGCUCCUCCGCCCUCGCAGGGCGAGAGGCGCCCGAUGGGCUGCAAGCCUGGAAACAGCGCCAGCUCGCUGUGUUUUCUGAUGGAGGGGCUGCAAGAAUAUUUCCCGACCACCUCCCUCUGUGCUGCAGGUUGGGAGAGCCGGGCUUGGGACAGUGGGGUCGGUGCUGUCCACCCUGCCCACCCCUAGGCCUUGUUGUAGCAGGAGUGAGACACUCCCGACCCACAGGCUCAGGCACCAGGAGCAGCCUCAGCUGCCCUGGAACUUGCUCUGGCUCUGUGUGAAAGGGAUUCCCAAGGGCUGGGGGGCUGAGUGGGUCUCAGAGCCCGUUUGGGAGUCAGAGCCAGGUUGGCCUUUCAGACUGAAGCCAGCAGAACUCCUAAAGCCCUCGGAGCCAGCGGCAAGGUGACACCUUUGGGAAGUGCAAGCCUCUGCUUCACAUCCUUCCUCUGCCAGCUUGGAGGUGGCACUGGAAGUCUUCCAGGAGAGCCUUUGCCCCUGCUGGGCUGUCCCCUGGGUGGUGUUACAUUCUAUUCCAUAGAAUCAUAGAAUAUUCUGAGUUGGAAGGGACAUACAUGGAUCAUCGAAAUCCCACUCCUGACCCUGCACAUGACAGAAUCACGCCAUAAGCUGUCCUGGAAGUUACCCUCUAGGCUAUUUUGCAGCCUAUCCCACAAACUGUCCUGCAAACUGGAUAAUCCCAGAGGUUAAUCCCUUGGAUUAUUCCAUAGGCUGUCCCCAUGGCUAUUCUGACAUGGGCACAGCUUCUCCCACUGCAACAGCCCUUCCACGUCAACCCCACUGCUUCUGUACAUCAGUCACGACUUUGGUGACCCAUCCCUUCAUACCCUGCUCUGCCUUAAUCCUGUUUUACCUGAGUGACUUGGUUGACCUUGCUAAGCAGCAGAUACCCGGGGGAGAUGGCCAGGAGGACAAAAAUGCAGCCAUUUAGAAAGAGGCAUCCAGAGCACUCACACUGGGAGAUGCACAUGGGGCUUUUGGUCUUGCAGAGGAGGGGGCUGAGAUCUCCCCCUGCGAUGAUCCACUCCUGGAGUGGUCAGACAAGGUCACUGGUGCACUGAAGGAUUUGACCACACACCACUGGGACAUCUAAUGAUCAGUCCCACACUGCUGAGCAUCUACCUUUUGAUUUCUAUUUUAAAAAGCAACCAGCUUCUCCAGCCAGCAAAAAAGACAGGCUCUAAAAUCCAAGUGAUGACCCCGGUCCUGCCUCUCCAUCCUUCUUGUCCUAUCUACUCUCCCUGUGUAUUUAAAAUAGUGUUCCUUAAUCUCCAGCACACACACACCCCUCCCCUUAAUUACAUUAAUAUUUGUUGAAAAAAUUGCUUUGCUGUAAAAUUGCUGACUAUUGUGCUUUUCAAGAACUUUUCACGUAGAAGGGAAUCUACCAAAGCUGAGCUCCCAGAAAUUACAACAAAAGCCUGAUGCAAUUGAAGGCACAGUUCAAGUCCAUGCCUGAAAGACAGUAUUCAUCAAAGAGGAUGUGCAGUUCCCUGAGAUAACUGCCUGCCUGUAGUUGGUUUAACCUUCCCAAAUCUCCUUAUUUCCUUUAUACACUGUGCAAUGUGGGGCAGAAACGACUGGGAAGCACUGUCCUAUCUCAUCAAAUCCUUGAACAGUUCAUCAGCUGGGCCAAAUCCAGGCAACACAGCGCCAGACAACGAUUAUCCAGCAUUUGCCUUUUACAGGAGUGUUUUGCCCAGCUCAGGGCAGCACCAGGUUGUUUUCCCCCCGACCACGGGCGGCACAUCAAGGGUUGCACAGCUCUGCUUUGCCUUCCCUGCUAAGCUGUUUACUGAGGCCAACACACACCUCUCUGUACACUCAAACCUUGAAAGUAGGUGUGCCUUUUGGAGAGCUGUGGGGCUUGAGCCUUUGGCCCAGCGACCUGGCAGUGCCCCAGCCAGAUGUCACUCCCAAAGACUGAAAAAGGCGCCUCUGUCUCCCGGUCCUGGCGCCUGCUCCAUGUCUGUGGUUCAGAGGCAGCUUUAUUAGGGUUUCCAAGGUGUAACCAGAGGAUAUUCAGACUACACAUGGUUUGCCCUCAGACUCGCUGCUGUCGAGGCACAAAGCACCCACGCUGGCUUUGUGUGGGUUGAGAUCUCCCCGUGCUGCAAACCCUGCUCAAAGGGAGAGGGAAAAGCUUCAGGGAUCAAAAGGGCUGGCCAAGCCACUCUCCAUGUGGGUCUGGGAUGGGACAGCACCAUUCCUGUCCCCUCCCAUCCCUGCCUGCAGCUGCAACGAUGCAGAAGAGACAGAGGCAAUGAGCCAUGGAGGACGAGGUGGGGCAGCACCACAGACUGCCAGCCUUCAUAGUCCCUCCAAGGAUCUGCCCUCAUCAGACAUGUCUCAAGGUAGCAACAUCCUUAUGCAAUAGUCUCCCCAAAUCUUUCCUUUCCCCAAAGCAUUCCUAUCAAUCCCACUCACCUAUUUACAGCCAUGGCAUGGGGUUUCCCAGACUUGCUUCUCCAGUCCUGAAGCCGCUGUGCUCACAUGGUGGCUCCCCCAGCCUCUCUAAAACCUGUUUUUCCUGCAGCACUCAAGAAAUUAGUUUCCCCUUGCAGCCUGCUGUGAGCACAUCCAAACCUGGGAAGUGCAGGGCAGUGAUCUUCAAAGGGAUUGAGAUAGGGGAAAAACAGCAAGAUAAUUUAAACCUUUCAGUGAAAGAUCUCCUGUUCAGUUUUUCUCAGAGAAAUGCAUUCCCACAUGUCAUUGCUGAACCCUCUUCUCUCAGUCCCUGCUGAGCUGUGACUCGCCCUCCGGGAUGAAGUGAGGCAUCUGGGUGCCCUUCCUGCCCCUGCCCUGUGCCCUGGGAGGCUGCAGGGCUGGACACAGCACCCAACAGCUCACCCCACCUAGAAGGGCAGGGAGAGAAAACCCUGGGGUUUGUGCAAAGCAAUGAAAGUACCUAGGUGCCCUUGGAGGGGGUUGAUUAGGGUCUAAGGUUGUGUUUGGAAAUGCCUCCUGGGCCACUGUGACCGGCAAGAUGCAGCCUGGUCCCAGGAGGUGAUGGGCAGCUGGAGUGUGACUCAGGCCAGGUAUUUUAAGGACAGUGAUAUAUUUUCAACGAAGACUGCCUAGAAUUAAAAACAGAGAAUUUUUAAAAUUAACUUUUUUCCUUACCUGCUCCAUAUCUCAGCCUUCCAGGUGCUUCCUCUGCCCACUAAUCCCUUCUCUUGCACAUCCCCUCCUUCAGCUGCAGGUUUGUCCCUCUCUACGUUCCCACAGGGCCUUGUCCUACUGCUUUACCUCCCUCAAACCUGCCAAAACACUGGAUUGCCCCUGUACCUGGGAAGGUUUCCCCUUCACUCCCACAGCUCCUCUUCCUCUCCCUAUUUUGCUCAGUCUUAUCUCCCUCCUUUUACCAUCUUUGGUGUUUUGCCAUUUUUAUUUCUGGAUGUUUCUCCCCCACACACCUGAAGUCCUGCAGACUUUCUGCAGGAAUUAACUGCCCUUGGAGUUUUCUCUGUUAACAGCUAAAGGUUUGCUGUGGCAGUGUGAGCUCCUCCACGCAGAGCACAGCUGACCCUUCCAGCCCAGCUCUCACUCCUUUCCAUAAGCCUAUGGAAAGAAUAUUCCUUGCUGCAUACGGAAAUUUUAGCUCACUUCUUUGCACAAUUUUUUUCGUACACUGCCAGGUUUCCACAGGACCAGCCCUGGAAACGAUCAUAUUGAAUGUUAAUUAGAGAACGAGUGAUUAUUAACCUCGAGACCUUUGUAUGAUUUGUCCAUGUGGGCCUUUAUAUCAUCUGCCCCUGGAAGCCCGUGUUUGGCCCUUCACCACGCAGCACCUCAGCUCUCCACAUCACUCUUGGCUCCAGCCCCAUUUCUGGGACUUGUUGCUCGCCCCAGCCCCAUUCCCAGUCCACACAGUACAGCUGCAAUCACCUGGUUUCCAUGGCAACGCCCCGGGAACGUGGGUCAGAAGAGAGCUGUGACAUCUCCUGACGCGGCAGGUCCGGGCACCAGGGUGCAGGUCCGGAGCUCUGUGGGCGGGAGACGUCGUGUUACUCACCCAGGAGGCAGCUUUGCUCUCUAAUCCAGCAGUGUUGGCCACCUCGGUGACAAUGCUGCCUUUAUUCUCUUUACAAUUGUUGUUAAAAUUCGGGUACCAGUAGUUCUCUCAUGUCUCAACGCUCAGACGUACCAGUUAAUAGGCUCAGAUCUUGGAAAAGUGCAGCAAACCCUGCUGACUCACAAAAACCUGUCCACGUGUGCAGUGCUGGCUUGGAGAAGAAGAGCAGACUCAAGCCACGGACAAUCCUUUAUUUCACUUUGGGAAAGCACGUGUCCAAUACAGCAUCUGACAUGUCAAGACAUUUCUUGACUUUUCUCUGUUGAGGAAAAAAACCUUCUUUCUCCUGCUGCAUGUUAGAAACUUUAUUAAUAAACCUGUUUUCUGAAGCACUUACAAUACCUGGCAGGUCCCAGGUUGAUUUCCUGAGGGUCUCCCAGUGGUGCAAGGCCACUGCCUUUCCCUGCUGGGUUGCAGAAGCAGCUCAGCCUCCACAAGUGUUCCCUUUCACUGCAGCACCAGGUCCUUGGCACAGCCUGAUUUCACUAAGAGCACUUUGCAUCACCUCCCAGGUGACCCCUUUCCCCCUUCCAGGAGCACACAGGACCUCAGGAAUCUCCAUGCCCCAUGCCAUGGUGUGGUGUGCUGCCAGCUGCCUAUGGAGAGCUUUGGCUGCCCUCUGUCCCAUUGCCACCUCUCUUCUUGAUUUUCAGCCUCCCUUCCCUCUCUGCUUUCCAUUUUCUACCUCUUCCCUUUGUUUCUCACUCCACUCCCAUCUCCUCAAGCCUCUGUUCCCAGGCCUUCAUUUAAAGUUUGAAGAGAGCCAAGU